RNAcentral lists this transfer RNA (1392 nucleotides) under Camponotus floridanus (Florida carpenter ant). RNAcentral's name for it is "uncharacterized LOC105248734, transcript variant X1". The record is from RNAcentral. Lineage: Eukaryota; Metazoa; Arthropoda; Insecta; Hymenoptera; Formicidae.
UCGCGAGACGACAGGUGGCAGCCCUGUUCGAGCCAUUUUGUCGCGAGCUUGUGUACGUGUGUGUGAUUUCGCGCGCGAUUAAUUUCGAUCCUUCGAACAUCAGAUAUUAUAACAAGUAUCGUGCACUAUAAUCAUAAUCGUUUGAUGAAACUACCAUCAAUUGCGCUGUUUAAUCCGAUCGAGAGUAAUUUGUUACUUUAUAUUGGAAUGAUGGAGCAAAUGUAAUCUCUCGCGAGCGAACUUUUCCGAACGCGUCGAGCUGGUAAAUUUGCUUUGCAAAACAACCGUUGGGCGGCGCUGAUAUUCGUGGCAGCCAUCUUCCCGCGAUUUUAUAUUCAAGUGACGCUGCAAGUGUGAUUUCGUAGACGAUUAAUCCGUAUUUUUUACGAAUAUCCAAGUUCGUGUGCACGAUCGCGAAUUGUUAUUAUUAUUAAUCGUUUCGCGAAAUGCUCGUUGAUCGCGUAAUGUUGCAGUGUUCGGUCAGUGAUUCGGUUUUCCGCGUGUUUUUUACGUUCGAAGUGUGAUUUCGCGAGUGAUCUUUUGCGUCGCGAGCAUACAUGUCGGGAAGCCAUCUUAAUUUCUCGAGAUAAUUGGUCAUUAUUAUACAAUAUCGUGUUCGAUUCGGUCAAUUUUUUGCGUGAUUUUUAACUCGAGUGAUAGUAAAUGUUGUCGCGCGAGUGUUGAGUUCCUGUAUUCAUCGUGAAAUAUCGAAACGAUGCAGUAUUUGUUCAACUUCGAGAUCGACGUAGCAUAGGCCCCGGAGGGAUUCGAACCCUCGAUCUCCUGUUUACUAGACAGGCGCUUUAACCAACUAAGCCACGGCGCCGUUGGAGGAAUGAGAUUACUCCAGUGCAUUCGUAAGAUGCAAGCAUCAUCCCCGAGUCGGUAGGGUAGAUACCCCCGGAGCUAAGGGGUCGCUACUCGACCGUUUUCUUAUCGACUGGAAGCUUCAUGCAAAACGGCUCGCUAACUCCCCGAUAGAAAGGGGUAGCUGCGAAUUGCCGCCGUCGAUUUGAACGGCUACCUAAGAUCCAUCCCUUCGGGCGAACAUUUGGCCGCGUGAUCUCAACCGAUUCCGGAUAAAUGGCUGACUCUCUAAUUGGGCUUCCGCAUCUAUAAUUUUGGCAGUGUGAAGACUCACAAAGGCUCACAUUUUGGCUUCUAGUGAAGGCUCACAAAGUGAUUCAAUCGUUUCGUCGUGAUGUCAGAUCCAUAACGGGGGGACGUACAAAGGGAUGCUGAAACGAAGUCUGAAGUAUUUUGGCGAAACAAGUCGACGUGCCAUCGAGAAAAGCUCACGCGCAGCCGACCGGAGUUUUGCAGCUGCGCCUAUUACUAAUCCACGGUAGAACAAUUUAAGUGUUUGCUAUCACUAAUAACCCGGCGAGCAAA